This 272-nucleotide ribosomal RNA is filed under the name uncultured Gammaproteobacteria bacterium. Its description in RNAcentral is "partial 16S ribosomal RNA". It matches the Rfam family "Bacterial small subunit ribosomal RNA", at positions 64 to 338 of the family's 1533-position model. Lineage: Bacteria; Pseudomonadati; Pseudomonadota; Gammaproteobacteria. The record is from RNAcentral.
CGGCAGCACGGGGUACUUGUACCUGGUGGCGAGCGGCGGACGGGUGAGUAAUGCCUAGGAAUCUGCCUAGUAGUGGGGGAUAACGUCCGGAAACGGGCGCUAAUACCGCAUACGUCCUACGGGAGAAAGUGGGGGAUCUUCGGACCUCACGCUAUUAGAUGAGCCUAGGUCGGAUUAGCUAGUUGGUGAGGUAAUGGCUCACCAAGGCGACGAUCCGUAACUGGUCUGAGAGGAUGAUCAGUCACACUGGAACUGAGACACGGUCCAGACUC